UUUGUCUUCAAAUCAUUCCUUGUAAUGUUAUUAGUCCAAAAACACAUGAAAUGUGAACAACAACAAUAAUCCGUCCAAAAACAAAGUGAAAACAUCAACAAAGUUUAUAGAAUAAGAAAAAAAAACUGAAACAAACGGCAUAUGUAUUAUGACAACAAGAUAAGUCGUUCAAUAAUAUAAUUCAUAUUCUAUGUUCAUUCUUAUUUUGUAAAGCUAAACAAGUCGUGCAAUAAUAUUCAGACACACACAAUUAUUCAGUUGUGUUCUGUUCUCACUUCUUCAAUCAACAAAAACAGUCUCUUUAAAGUUUAAACAUGUGGACAAACCAAAAAAAUCGACUAACUUCAAAAGGUUGCAAACAAAAUUACCUAACUUCUGAGCAUCAUACAAUCUGA
This 395-nucleotide long non-coding RNA is filed under the name Brassica napus (rape). Its description in RNAcentral is "long non-coding RNA (BNAP_LNC017236)". Lineage: Eukaryota; Viridiplantae; Streptophyta; Magnoliopsida; Brassicales; Brassicaceae. The record is from RNAcentral.